Coturnix japonica (Japanese quail) is the source of this 3120-nucleotide long non-coding RNA. RefSeq lists it as uncharacterized. Lineage: Eukaryota; Metazoa; Chordata; Aves; Galliformes; Phasianidae. The record is from RefSeq and is a predicted model, not a curated record.
CGGUCCCGGUUCCGCUCCCCGGGCUCUCAGAACCGACCCACCGUAUCCGCUCCGCGUUGCUCCGAUGCUGAGCGCUGCCAACCGGCGGCUCGUCGUUAGGGGAGGGGCUCCUCGCGGCCGCCCGCUCCGCGCAACCGGCGGCUGCGGCUGGAAGCGCUGUGCCACCACGUCGGAGCGACCACGGAGACAGCACAGAGCCCCUCUGCCAUCCAUAGAGCCAGCACAGAGCAACCACAGAGCCCCUCUGCCAUCCAUAAAGCCAGCACCGAGCCCUGGCUGCCACCGAGCCACCUCAAAGCUGCCCUCAUUACCACCAGCACAGCCAUGGAGUACGACCACCACUGCCCUAUCUGGCUACAGGAGUGCUUGCUGAGGAAAGGAGGCUGUUAAUGGCUGGGACACAAGUCACCCCAGCUAAGUGCCCACAUCAUCUAGCUUGGAGUGAAAACACUGUCCUCUUCUGACAGCCAGCGUUGCUCAAUCUAAUGGAUUCCUAUCAAAGCAUUUCUUUCAACCAACUGGCGCUUUAUCAAGGAAUCCCCAACCUGCCUGGAUUUUUUCCACUUGAAAGCAAGAGCCAAGAGCUGGAAGAGAUCCUCAUCUGAACAAUAACACUGCAGAAGCUGUACAGAGCAAGGCUUCAGCCAACGGGCUGAACAGAAUAGAAGAGCUCUAUCAAAAGAGAUGUAUUUCUUUGCACCAGGCCUUAGGAGAAAUCAACAGAGCCAGAGAUCAUGGCAUGUCAGUGUGCUAGAGCAGUGGCUUUCCACACAGGAGGACGACCCCAUAUUUUUGGAUUUAGAACGACUUCACAGCAUAUCUCCCUGACAUUUGUUUGUUGGCUGAUUUAUCGCACCAAGUGCCAGCCUGACUUCCUGCCAUCAGUAACACAGCGCUGUCAAUAUCUGGGCAUUGAGAUCAUUUGUCUGGCUGGUUCAUCUAUUCUCGGAGUGCUUUCUCACUUAGGAGUGAACACUGCCAUAAAGAACUGUCUCUAACACACAGCAAAACCAUUAACAACUACUGGUGGAAAGCAAUGGUGCAAUGGAGUUAUUAGCCCCAUAGCACCCUCCCACAAUGGCCAAGGAGACCCAUGGUUAUCAGGCCCAGGUACCAGCUCCCCCAGCAUUGCCACGUGCCAGGGGAUACUGAGGUCAGUGUUGCUGUAAGUGACUUGUGCCAGCCUGACACAAAGCCACAUUUCUGGGGUCUCAGCAGGGAAGUGAAGCUUCAGUUGAAGCAUCACCCUUAGGAGGCACCGAUUCUUUUGCCUAGUGCAGGGAACAGAGCUUGAGAAUCUGAAAGGAGCCAUGGUCACGUCAUUGCUUGAGGGAGAUAGAACUGGGAGAAACUGGGCAAUCAAGAUAGAAAAAGUACAGCUUCCAAAUGCGUAUCGUCAUCCGACUAAUCCCUGCCUCUCCCCCUGCUGCCUCCUCUGCUGAUGCUCCAGUCCCCACUUCAAUACCUGCCAGGUCCUCUUAGAGAGCUGACAUUUCCAUUCCUGACAUUUUCUGCAGCUCCAUCUGGGAAUUAAUGGCCGGAUAUUAGCAGCGAUGGGGCCGUUUAUCAUAAUUAGUCUCACGAAGCUACGAAGCAUCCAACUAUUUUUCAUCAGCACCGAGGAAAUAAACUGCAGAAUCCAGUAGAUGCGACGGACGAUUUAUUUAUUGAUUGAUUUAUUUUGGUCUGUCAGGAUGUGGCUUUAAAGCUUGCCGAGAUGAGCAAUGCUUCUCCAAGGCGAUGACGACAGCGAGGCUGCUCGCCUUGGGUGCACAAGCAGCAGGAAAAAGGCCUUGAACCCCUCCAAUAAGGAGGCAUUUGGUACCUUACAUCUGCUCUGCUGCUAUGGAAUGACAAGUGGCUGCUGGUUGAGACCUGCUAUGAAAAGCCCAUGAGGAGAGAGCUGCCAGCUACAUCAUGGCAUCAGGAAUGGAAGUGUGUGCUUUUCUUCUCCAUAAGGAAAGAAAACACUGAGUGCAGCUGCAGAAGAUGGGACGAGGACCAGCACCUCUAGGACUGCCAUGUGGAGGGCCAUGCCAGGUGGUCCUGGCACCAUCAGUACCUGCUCUGGGGAAGCUUUGUGUUGGAGGAAACAAAAGCAAAGUCCCUCCUGCAGCCCAUCUGAACGAGGAAAGUGAGAUUCAGUGGGGGUGCCUGGUGUUACCACAGAGCCUGGUGGAGAUGGAGUGGGGAAGAAACCAGCGUGGGCCCAGUGUUGUGCUGAAUUUUAUGCUGCUGUGGAUGUUGCAGGCUGGGCUGUGUUGUCUCUUGCUUCUGCCCAAGCACGCACAGGGCAUUUCUGCAUGGGACUCAUUGAAGGUGUUAAAUGCAGCCAGAGCUACAGCACCUGCGGCUCUGCUGGAGUGCAAUGGGUUUCUCUGCUUUCAGAUAUGAAGUGCAGUGAGAUCCGUAAGUCAGAGGCUUCAGCAUGAAACUAUUUCCUUGGGAUCACUGCUGGCAGAGAGAAACAGAGAGAUAUUAUCAGAAAUUCGCCGCUAAAAUACAAUCCAUAUCCUCAGCCUUCAGAUCGAUGAGAGAAAAAGAAAUCCAUCCAAUGACUUUCCUGCAGCACAGCAGAGCGCUCCGGGAGAUGAUUCAAUAGCAGCAGCUCUGCCCUCCACGUGCUGUGUUUGUGCCUUGCCCUGCUGGGUGCAGCUGCUGCCCCAGAGCUGGGCACUCACUGCCUCAGUGGGUGACGUGCUCUGUGAGUGCUACUGGUAUAGGCAAGUUAUUGCUGCUAAUGGAACAUACUUGAAGACAAAGCAGUGUCAGCCCUCCAGCAGAUGACACACUCAGUGUUCAGAACCCACCUUUAUCCAUAUCCUCUGGGCUAUUCCAGCUCACCACCUCCACACUGGCUUUUUCUACCACCAGCAGCUCGCUCGGACCCCGAAAUCACAAGAGAUCAGUGGUAAUAAAGGCAGCAAAUCCCUCCUUUCUGGCUUUAAGCUCAGCCUUGUGCUGCAGACAACACUGCGCAUCGCUUCCACCGCCAUCCAUCAAGGACAGCCCAUCGCAGCCGCCGACAAAGCCCAUCAUUUCAGCCGCGCGCUUCCAUCGCCUCCAAAUCAGCGGCUGAUGAUACACAGAAGCGUUGCAAUAAAUGUUUAUGGCAGCGCU